AUUGAACGCUGGCGGCAGGCCUAACACAUGCAAGUCGAGCGGAAAAAGGAAGCAGCUUGCUGCUUUGCGGACGAGAGGGGGGCGUGAGAGCAAUGUCUGGGACACGGCCUGAGGGAGGGGGUUAACUACUGGAAACGGAAGCUAAAACCGCAUAAAGUCGCAAGACCAAGGAGGGGGAGACUCGGGCCUCUUGGCUGCGGAUGUGCCCAGGUGGGAUUAGCUUGUUGGUGGGGUAACGGCUGACCAAGGCGACGAUCCCUAGCUGGUCUGAGAGGAUGAUCAGCCACACUGGAACUGAGACACGGUCCAGACUCCUACGGGAGGCAGCAGUGGGGAAUAUUGCACAAUGGGCGCAAGCCUGAUGCAGCCAUGCCGCGUGUGUGAAGAAGGUCUUCGGGUUGUAAAGUACUUUCAGUGGGGAGGAAGGGAAUUAAGUUAAUACCUUUACUCAUUGACGUUACCCACAGAAGAAGCACCGGCUAACUCCGUG
RNAcentral lists this ribosomal RNA (490 nucleotides) under uncultured bacterium. RNAcentral describes it as "partial 16S ribosomal RNA". It matches the Rfam family "Bacterial small subunit ribosomal RNA", at positions 29 to 507 of the family's 1533-position model. The record is from RNAcentral.